RNAcentral lists this ribosomal RNA (498 nucleotides) under uncultured bacterium. RNAcentral's name for it is "partial 16S ribosomal RNA". It matches the Rfam family "Bacterial small subunit ribosomal RNA", at positions 30 to 523 of the family's 1533-position model. The record is from RNAcentral.
AUUGAACGCUGGCGGCAUGCCUUACACGUGCAAGUCGAACGGUAACAGGUCUUCGGAUGCUGACGAGUGGCGAACGGGUGAGUAAUACAUCGGAACGUGCCCGAUCGUGGGGGAUAACGGAGCGAAAGCUUUGCUAAUACCGCAUACGAUCUACGGAUGAAAGCAGGGGACCGCAAGGCCUUGCGCGGACGGAGCGGCCGAUGGCAGAUUAGGUAGUUGGUGGGAUAAAAGCUUACCAAGCCGACGAUCUGUAGCUGGUCUGAGAGGACGACCAGCCACACUGGGACUGAGACACGGCCCAGACUCCUACGGGAGGCAGCAGUGGAGAAUUUUGGACAAUGGGCGCAAGCCUGAUCCAGCCAUGCCGCGUGCAGGAUGAAGGCCUUCGGGUUGUAAACUGCUUUUGUACGGAACGAAAAGACUCUUUCUAAUAAAGAGGGUCCAUGACGGUACCGUAAGAAUAAGCACCGGCUAACUACGUGCCAGCAGCCGCAGUAA